CAAAACAAUAUUUACAAACCCAUCUCUAGAAUCUCAAUCAACUACUCACAAAUCAUUGUUUAAAGACAAACCCAAAUGAAGAAAUGAAGAAAUAAUGGAAAUGUAAGCUAAAAGGGGUAGAAAAACCCAGCAAAUUUGCAGCAGGAUCUCUGCAGAAAAGUGCAGAAACUUGAUCCUUGCUGCUGCUGGAAGAAGAUGCAGAAAAUGCAGAAAAUGCUCCUCUUUCUCUCUUUCUAACUUUUUCCGAAAAUGACUCCCUUGCUCUCUAUAUGGAAAGAAAGUGAUAAAAUGGGUCUUUAUAUAGGCUAA
This 309-nucleotide unclassified non-coding RNA is filed under the name Hevea brasiliensis (rubber tree). The record is from RNAcentral. Lineage: Eukaryota; Viridiplantae; Streptophyta; Magnoliopsida; Malpighiales; Euphorbiaceae.